GCUAGCGUUGCUCGGAAUUACUGGGCGUAAAGGGCGCGUAGGCGGUCUGCUAAGUCGAACGUGAAAUCCCCGGGCUUAACCCGGGAACUGCGUCCGAUACUGGUGGGCUUGAGUGCAGGAGAGGAAUGCGGAAUUCCAGGUGUAGCGGUGAAAUGCGUAGAUAUCUGGAGGAACACCGGUGGCGAGGGCGGCAUUCUGGACUGCAACUGACACUGAAAGACGAAAGCCAGGGGAGCAAACGGG
Molecule: ribosomal RNA, 243 nt
Filed under: uncultured bacterium
Lineage: Bacteria
Description: partial 16S ribosomal RNA
Rfam family: Bacterial small subunit ribosomal RNA
Source: RNAcentral